CCUACGGGAGGCAGCAGUGGGGAAUAUUGCGCAAUGGGCGAAAGCCUGACGCAGCGACGCCGCGUGAGGGAUGAAGGUCUUCGGAUCGUAAACCUCUGUCAGCAGGGAAGAACGGUCACUGUGCUAAUCAGCAGUGAAUUGACGGUACCUGCAAAGGAAGUACCGGCUAACUCCGUGCCAGCAGCCGCGGUAAUACGGAGGGUGCGAGCGUUAAUCGGAAUUACUGGGCGUAAAGCGCUCGUAGGCGGUAUGUCAAGUCAAGGGUGAAAUCCCCGCGCUCAACGUGGGAACUGCCUUUGAAACUGGCAAACUGGAGUGUGUGAGAGGAUAGUGGAAUUCCAGGUGUAGGAGUGAAAGCCGUAGAUAUCUGGAGGAACAUCAGUGGCGAAGGCGACUAUCUGGCACAUAACUGACGCUGAGGAGCGAAAGCGUGGGUAGCAAACAGGAUUAGAUACCUUUGUAGUC
This 465-nucleotide ribosomal RNA is filed under the name uncultured bacterium. RNAcentral describes it as "partial 16S ribosomal RNA". It matches the Rfam family "Bacterial small subunit ribosomal RNA", at positions 338 to 795 of the family's 1533-position model. The record is from RNAcentral.